This 391-nucleotide unclassified non-coding RNA is filed under the name soil metagenome. RNAcentral's name for it is "partial contains 5.8S ribosomal RNA, internal transcribed spacer 2, and large subunit ribosomal RNA". The stretch from base 1 to 122 matches the Rfam family "5.8S ribosomal RNA", at positions 35 to 154 of the family's 154-position model. The record is from RNAcentral.
GAUGAAGAACGCAGCGAAAUGCGAUACUUGGUGUGAAUUGCAGAAUCCCGUGAACCAUCGAGUCUUUGAACGCAAGUUGCGCCCGAAGCCAUUAGGCCGAGGGCACGCCUGCCUGGGCGUCACACGUCGUUGCCCCCCCAUCUACUCCUUCGGGAUUGCGGGGGGCGGAUGAUGGCCUCCCGUGCGCCUCGUCGCGCGGUUGGCAUAAAUGCCAAGUCCUCGGCGACGCACGCCACGACAAUCGGUGGUUGCGAAACCUCGGUUGCCCGUCGUGUGCGGUCGUCGCGCAUCGAGGGCUCGAAAAAAUUGCCGGGCUCCGGCUCGGCUUUCAACGCGAAACCAGGUCAGGCGGGGUUACCCGCUGAAUUUAAGCAUAUCAAUAAGCGGAGGA